Non-coding RNA from Acanthosepion pharaonis, 114 nucleotides. The record is from the annotation of a GenBank genome assembly. Lineage: Eukaryota; Metazoa; Mollusca; Cephalopoda; Sepiida; Sepiidae.
UUACGGUCAUAUCACGUUGAAACACUGUUUCUCUUACGACUAACGAAGUUAAGCAAACGUCCAGCCUGGUCAGUACCUAGAUGGGUGACCACUUGGGAAUACUCAGUGCCGUGA